Molecule: ribosomal RNA, 1913 nt
Filed under: human gut metagenome
Description: bacterial LSU rRNA
Rfam family: Bacterial large subunit ribosomal RNA
Source: RNAcentral
UCAAGCUACAAAGAGCACAAGGGGAAUGCCUUGGCACCGAGAGCCGAAGAAGGACGUGACUAACUGCGAUAAGCUGCGGGGAGCCGUAAGUAGGCUUUGAUCCGCAGAUUUCCGAAUGGAGCAAUCCGGCAAGAGGAAAGUCUUGUCAUCAUAUACUGAAUACAUAGGUAUAUGAGGGGAACCGCCUGAACUGAAACAUCUAAGUAGGGCGAGGAAGAGAAAUCAACUGAGAUUCCGUAAGUAGUGGCGAGCGAACGCGGAAGAGGCCAAACCGAGAGUAGUAAUACUUUCGGGGUUCGGACAGAAAACGGUAUUGUAAAGGUUUAGUGGAAUGGAAUGGGAAGUCCAACCGAAGAAGGUGAGAGUCCUGUACACGAAAAGCCUGAACAGCCAUCUGUAUCCAGAGUACCGCCGGACACGUGAAACCCGGUGGGAAUACGGGGGGACCAUCCUCCAAGCCUAAAUACUACUCGGUGACCGAUAGUGAAGAAGUACUGUGAAGGAAAGGUGAAAAGUACCCCUGACGGGGAGUGAAAAAGAACCUGAAACCUUGUGUUUACAAGCACCGAAAGCUCAUCAAAGAGCGAUCGGGUACCUUUUGUAGAAUGGUCCGGCGAGUGAAUGUAACCGGCGAGGUUAAGCACUUAAGGUGUGAAGCCGCAGCGAGAGCAAGUCUGAAUAGGGCGUAUGAAGUCGGUUGUAUUCGACCCGAAACCGGGUGACCUACCCAUGGUCAGGUUGAAGUAAAGGUAAAACUUUAUGGAGGACCGAACCGACUCCCGUUGAAAUGGUAGCGGAUGAACUGUGGGUAGCGGAGAAAUUCCAAUCGAACCCGGAGAUAGCUGGUUCUCUCCGAAAUAGCUUUAGGGCUAGCCUUGAAAUAGAUUACCGGAGGUAAAGCACUGAAUGGGCUAGGGGCCGAGAGGUUACUGAACCCUAUCAAACUAAGAAUGCCGGAUAAUCGUUUUUCAGGAGUCAGACAGUGGGAGAUAAGUUUCAUUGUCAAAAGGGAAACAGCCCAGACCCACAGCUAAGGUCCCCAAGUAUAGUUAAGUGGAAAAGGAUGUGGAAUUGCACAGACAACCAGGAUGUUGGCUUAGAAGCAGCCACUCAUUAAAAGAGUGCGUAAUAGCUCACUGGUCGAGUGACUCUGCGCGGAAAAUAUAACGGGGCUAAGCAUGAAACCGAAGCUUGGGCUUGUACUUAGGUACAGGGGUAGGGGAGCGUCGAGUAUGGGGUGAAGUCAGAGCGGAAGCACUGGUGGACUGUACUGGAGUGAGAAUGCCGGAAUGAGUAGCGAGAAUUAUGUGGGAAUCAUAAUGGCCGAAAAUCUAAGGUUUCUUGGGGAAGGUUCGUCCGCCCAAGGUAAGUCGGGAGCUAAGCUCAGGCCGAGAGGCGUAGGCGAUGCACAUACGGUAGAAAUUCCGUAACCACCGAAACUUAAACAGAGGGACACUUCGAAAUAGCGGAACCCGGGCGUUGGUUGACCCGGGCGAAAGGGAGCGAAAUUAGAGUAGCGAAGUCCGCGAUGUUCGGAGGCGAGAAAAGCUCUGAGGUAUGCUAAGGUGCCCGUACCGCAAACCGACACAGGUAGAUGAGGAGAGAAUCCUAAGGCCAACGGGAGAAGGGUUGUUAAGGAACUCGGCAAAUUGACCCCGUAACUUCGGAAGAAGGGGAGCCCCCUACGGGGGGUCGCAGAGAAAUGGCCCAAGCAACUGUUUACCAAAAACACAGGUCUAUGCUAAAUCGAAAGAUGACGUAUAUGGGCUGACGCCUGCCCGGUGCCGGAAGGUUAAGAGGAGAUGUCAGGCAACGAAGCAUUGAAUUUAAGCCCCGGUAAACGGCGGCCGUAACUAUAACGGUCCUAAGGUAGCGAAAUUCCUUGUCAGGUAAGUUCUGACCCGCACGAAAGG